UGGAAAUCAAUUUUGUAUUUACAAAUAAAUUUUUGCAAAUAGUCGAAUAUGCGAAUACAGAAUCCAAGAAUCAGCUAGAAGGGCCCUAUAGGCUCCCCUCUAGCCAACAAGCUAGCAAAAAUCUUAGUUAGAAAAAGUGAAACUGCUGCCAUCCUUUCUAUUAAAAACUCCCUCAAGUUCUAUGCUUGCUACAUCAAUUACAUUUUUAUGACUGUUGAUAAUAAAGAAGUUGCCAGCAAUUUUGCCACAUAUAUCAAUAACAACCUGUAUGGACUAACUCUACAGCUCAAACAAUUACAUAGGAAGUGGAUGCAUUUUCUGGACAUAUACAUCACAAAGAAGACUAAUUUUUUUUCUAUUUCCAUCUUUAGAAAACCUAGCAACAGGCUCAGCCUCAUUCAUGAGUGUUCCAAAGAUACAGCUAGGUACAAGGACGCUAGCAUCUCUGCACUCAUUUGGCGAGCUUAUAAACUUUUUACGGAGGAAGCAGAC
RNAcentral lists this long non-coding RNA (492 nucleotides) under Androctonus crassicauda. The record is from RNAcentral. Lineage: Eukaryota; Metazoa; Arthropoda; Arachnida; Scorpiones; Buthidae.